This 424-nucleotide ribosomal RNA is filed under the name uncultured prokaryote. RNAcentral describes it as "bacterial SSU rRNA". It matches the Rfam family "Bacterial small subunit ribosomal RNA", at positions 355 to 796 of the family's 1533-position model. The record is from RNAcentral.
UGGGGAAUCUUAGACAAUGGGGGAAACCCUGAUCUAGCCAUGCCGCGUGAGUGAUGAAGGCCCUAGGGUCGUAAAGCUCUUUCGCUGGGGAAGAUAAUGACUGUACCCAGUAAAGAAACCCCGGCUAACUCCGUGCCAGCAGCCGCGGUAAUACGGAGGGGGUUAGCGUUGUUCGGAAUUACUGGGCGUAAAGCGCACGUAGGCGGACUAUUAAGUCAGGGGUGAAAUCCCGGGGCUCAACCCCGGAACUGCCCUUGAUACUGGUAGUCUAGAGUUCGAGAGAGGUGAGUGGAAUUCCGAGUGUAGAGGUGAAAUUCGUAGAUAUUCGGAGGAACACCAGUGGCGAAGGCGGCUCACUGGCUCGAUACUGACGCUGAGGUGCGAAAGUGUGGGGAGCAAACAGGAUUAGAUACCCCCGUAGUCC